This 442-nucleotide ribosomal RNA is filed under the name uncultured bacterium. RNAcentral describes it as "partial 16S ribosomal RNA". It matches the Rfam family "Bacterial small subunit ribosomal RNA", at positions 338 to 795 of the family's 1533-position model. The record is from RNAcentral.
CCUACGGGAGGCAGCAGUGGGGAAUAUUGGGCAAUGGGCGCAAGCCUGACCCAGCAACGCCGCGUGAAGGAAGAAGGCUUUCGGGUUGUAAACUUCUUUUAAGAGGGAAGCGCAGAAGACGGUACCUCUUGAAUAAGCCACGGCUAACUACGUGCCAGCAGCCGCGGUAAUACGUAGGUGGCAAGCGUUGUCCGGAUUUACUGGGUGUAAAGGGCGUGUAGCCGGGCUGACAAGUCAGAUGUGAAAUCCCGUGGCUCAACCACGGAACUGCAGUUGAAACUGUCGGUCCUGAGUAUCGGAGAGGCAGGCGGAAUUCCGAGUGUAGCGGUGAAAUGCGUAGAUAGUGGGAGGAACACCAGUGGCGAAGGCGGCCUGCUGGACGACAACUGACGGUGAGGCGCGAAAGCGUGGGGAGCAAACAGGAUUAGAUACCCGUGUAGUC